ACCCGAACCGGAAAUGACCCAAAAAUACAAGUUCGGGUCCAGGUCUGGGUCCAUGCUAAGUACCUAUUGGGAUUUUUUUGGAUCUGCGGGUAUCGGUUCGGGUCCGGGUUGAUACGCCCUAAAAUAGAAAAGGAUCACUCAAUCGGACUAAAGGGAUAUGAACUCGCCAAAAUGGAGAACUGAUGGAUUCAACGGUGACACAAUGAGUUACGGAUGGCCCAAUAAUACUACCAGACUUCAGUUGGUGCUUGAUAUGACUCACAAGUCCAUCAAAAGAA
This 278-nucleotide long non-coding RNA is filed under the name Brassica napus (rape). Its description in RNAcentral is "long non-coding RNA (BNAP_LNC021749)". Lineage: Eukaryota; Viridiplantae; Streptophyta; Magnoliopsida; Brassicales; Brassicaceae. The record is from RNAcentral.